Molecule: ribosomal RNA, 500 nt
Filed under: uncultured bacterium
Lineage: Bacteria
Description: bacterial SSU rRNA
Rfam family: Bacterial small subunit ribosomal RNA
Source: RNAcentral
CCUACGGGAGGCAGCAGUAAGGAAUAUUGGUCAAUGGACGCAAGUCUGAACCAGCCAUGCCGCGUGCAGGAUGAAGGCCCUCUGGGUUGUAAACUGCUUUUAUCUGGGAAGAAAAUACCCUUUUCUAAGGGAGUUGACGGUACCAGAGGAAUAAGCACCGGCUAACUCCGUGCCAGCAGCCGCGGUAAUACGGAGGGUGCAAGCGUUAUCCGGAUUCACUGGGUUUAAAGGGUGCGUAGGCGGGUUUUUAAGUCAGUGGUGAAAGCUUCCCGCUCAACGGGAAAACUGCCAUUGAUACUAUUAAUCUUGAAUUCAGUUGAGGUCGGCGGAAUGUGUCGUGUAGAGGUGAAAUUCUUAGAUAUGACACAGAACACCAAUUGCGAAGGCAGCUGGCUAAACUGAUAUUGACGCUGAGGCACGAAAGCGUGGGGAUCAAACAGGAUUAGAUACCCUGGUAAUCCACGCCCUAAACUAUGAUCACUCGAAGUUGGCGAUAUACU